GAGUGCAUUACUUGCAUUGUAAGGUUGCUUGGUGGACUUGUGUUUGAUCAACACUGAAACUCUUCAUUCCUUCACAGCAGAAAGUAUGUGUCUGUUUUGAUGCAGGAUUGACUGUUUUAGUUCAGUAAAGACAAUUAAAAAGCACACAUUUCCAUAAGUGGUGGCAUUGGACAGAGAUAUCUGAUAUGCUACAGAGCCAAUAUUCAAUUAAAGGAUGCCACUUUGAAUGCGUUAAUUCGCACAGGAGCAGAGAUAACAGGCCAAAGUGACCUAUUCCUGCAGUUAACACUGUUCUCGCUGGCUGACACAAAAUGGGCAGUGGAGAGGGUGGUGACCUGCCACCUACCAGAGUGCCAUCGACACCUCGGUUGGCAUCUCUAAACGCUGUUGACCGAAACGUACCGUACCGCUUCGAUAUGCGUAAAACGUUUGUCUUGUGCCCCCCCCCCCCCCCCCGCCCAUCUCUCUCUGUCUCACGCUUUCUGUUCUGCUGGGCAGUGUAACUGUACCCCAGUCCUUUUAAAAAAUAUUCUAAGAAUACCCCCACCACCCCCACCCCCGCCUUUAAAAAUUAGACAACAUUGUCAGUUUGGCAGUGUCAUGCUACUGAAGGUGACCCGCCCCCCCCAGUUUGUCAGGCAGUGAAAUGCUGUCUCUCUGGGUGUAAGCCGGAGGAAGUUCACACGGUGUCGGGGAACAGUGCUGCCUGCGAGUAGCUUUCGAAAGCACAGUAACGAACGGGAAUGCCGAUGCCUGCAGGUGUUAUCAGCGUUGGCAUUCUAACGAGAUGGAAGGUAUGAACUGGACUUCUUGGGGGCAAGUGUAGGCCCUACUCUGGGGGGGGGGGCGUUACCAACGGUUGCUUAAGUCACACAAGUGUACUUUCGUUGGUUAAUCUCAUAUCAGUGAUGGAACGGUUAACCGAUUUCCUUUGGUUUGCAAAAAAAUUGCAUAGCCUAAUAUUUCUGGGCGUAGAACACUGGCGUCGAACACACACACACACACACACACAUGCUAAUUAAACCAGUAACCUGUAUUCAUGAAGCGCUGUCUUAAGAAUCGGCUUAAACCGAGGAACAGUACCCACUGAAAACGUUUUUUCUUUCGCCCAAUUUUAUCCCCCAUUUGGAGCGCCCGAUUGGACACGGCCGCAGUCAGCGGAUGCCGGAGGGCUCUGCGACAGCACACAUUUUCGGAAGUGCGUGAUGUCAGCAGCUGUUCCCUUUCACACCACGGCCCACGCGCUGUAAGCUCGCGCCGAGGCGAAAAGGCGGAAGACCGAUCGUGUGCGGCUUUAGCAAGCGAGCUAGCGGAGCCACGAGACGCAGACGAACCCGACUAGAGCCCCCCUAAACCUGGCGACAGUACCGCCGAUUUCGCCUUUGUGACAACGGCACAGAACGGAACUCGGGCACAGCGGUUGCUUGGAAACCCAGGCGAUGUUCACGAACGUACAGAGCCGUGGGGUGGGCGUGCGGCCGCCCCUGCGUUUCCGAGACCUCCUCUACCAGAUACGAAAGAUUUACCGACCAGGAAUGGCGCGGAUUGUGCGGCAAAAUAAGCUUAUUUCUGUGUCUCGAGAUUCAGCUGCUUCCAGUCCUUGCUGCACCUUUCGUGACAGGUGGUAUGCCUUGCUAAUGUUUAACACUUGUUCAGGAGGCUAAUUACACGGCCAAAUAAAUAACAAUGAA
Anguilla rostrata (American eel) is the source of this 1691-nucleotide long non-coding RNA. RefSeq lists it as uncharacterized. The record is from RefSeq and is a predicted model, not a curated record. The transcript has 2 exons. NCBI's taxonomy places the organism in Eukaryota, Metazoa, Chordata, Actinopteri, Anguilliformes, Anguillidae.